GAUGAUAUAUGAGUUGUGAAUACCAACAUUAUAUCUAUAGAGAAUGGCCACUUUAUUUUUUAUUUUUAUUUGCUCUAUUUUUAUCAAGUGAAUUAUGUUGGUACAUGGAGACAUAUUUGUUUAUGAAGAUAGUGUGGGGACCCGGCACAAAAAUUAUUGCCAAUUUUUGUUUCAGAAAGGACAAAUAAGAAAAGCUACUUUCA
RNAcentral lists this long non-coding RNA (203 nucleotides) under Elaeis guineensis (African oil palm). RNAcentral's name for it is "long non-coding RNA (EGUI_LNC017243)". The record is from RNAcentral. Lineage: Eukaryota; Viridiplantae; Streptophyta; Magnoliopsida; Arecales; Arecaceae.